UGGCGACUAGAGGCUAAGGAGAGAGGCGCUGGCGGCUGCAGGUGGUGGAUGGCUACGCAUGGAUUUCCAUGAUGGAGCUAGGGUUCCAUUUCGGGCAGGGCUAGGCGUGUGUAUAUAGCAAUGGGGCUAGGCUGGGCAGUUUUCAUCCGUUUUCGGACCGUCGGAUCUUGAUCGGACGGUUGAAAACAGAGGGGUAGGCUACGUGGAUAGGUAGGCUGUGUGGAAGCUCUUGGGCUGAGAUGAGAGGGAAAUAGUGCGGCCUAUGACAGAGUUUUAAACUCUGAAAAUGUUCGACGAAUUACCGGCUAGUACCGCUAUAAGUUUAACGGUUCGGGUAUUAAACGGACUCUCGUUGCGAUGAAAUUUGGUAGGAAGCCUACCUUCACUAUAUUAAGACCGCAUGCUAACUUUUAACCAAUUUCGAGAAUGUUUUACACACACUUUUAAAAACAAU
Molecule: long non-coding RNA, 454 nt
Filed under: Hordeum vulgare
Lineage: Eukaryota; Viridiplantae; Streptophyta; Magnoliopsida; Poales; Poaceae
Description: long non-coding RNA (HVUL_LNC011808)
Source: RNAcentral